This is a long non-coding RNA of Schistocerca serialis cubense, 811 nucleotides long. RefSeq lists it as uncharacterized. Lineage: Eukaryota; Metazoa; Arthropoda; Insecta; Orthoptera; Acrididae. The transcript has 3 exons. The record is from RefSeq and is a predicted model, not a curated record.
CGCCCGCCGCCACGUCCCGACAAAGCUGCAGCCAUGUGGACAGCCAAGCUGGUGCUGGUGGCGGCUCUCGUAGCGGCGGCCUCUGCCCAGUUCGGGGGGACGGACCCGGGCGGGCUGCUCAACGACCCGGCUGCGCUCACCGAGAUCAUACAGUGUCUGCUGGCCAACUCGGACUCAGGUUGCUCGCUACAGGGACGUCUGCUCAAGAGCGUGCUGCCGCAGCUGCUGCAGUCCAACUGCGGCCAGUGCAGCGAGGCGCAGCGCCAGGACGUGGCCAACGUGCUGCGCCACCUGGUCAACGACAGGCCGGAGGAGUGGCAGCGGCUUGCCGCCAAGUACGACCCGGCGGGCACCCUGCGCACGCAGCACGGGGACGAGUGGCGCGCGCGGGGCGUCAACAUGUAGCCGCGACCCUAACACGUUGAGGUUUCAUAGAAAAGCACCAUAUAAAUCACCAAUGAACUUGCGGUCAACACUCACAACACUGGAGUUUACCAAGUUGAACCACACCAGCACCUCCGAAGCAUCUGACGUAAAGGAACGUUAUUUCCUUCAAAGAACGUAUGCUAUUGCCAGUAUCUGGUACUCACCAAAUUGCACCUUCGCGUCAGGUACCUGAUGUAGUGACUGACAUGAAACUAGUGACAUGUACAUUAAAAUACGUCUGUGGACGCCAAAGAAAUAUGUAGUUAUGUUUAUUGCGUGCACGCCGAGCACUCACGAAUGUUUUAGUGAAAUUCUGUACAACGAUUUUUAUUAUCUAAGAAAUAAAACUCGGAAUAAACUUCUGAUUCAAAUGGUGGCAACCCAA